Molecule: ribosomal RNA, 497 nt
Filed under: uncultured bacterium
Lineage: Bacteria
Description: partial 16S ribosomal RNA
Rfam family: Bacterial small subunit ribosomal RNA
Source: RNAcentral
GAUGAACGCUGGCGGCGUGCCUAAUACAUGCAAGUCGAGCGAACGGACGAGAAGCUUGCUUCUCUGAUGUUAGCGGCGGACGGGUGAGUAACACGUGGAUAACCUACCUAUAAGACUGGGAUAACUUCGGGAAACCGUAGCUAAUACCGGAUAAUAUUUUGAACCGCAUGGUUCAAAAGUGAAAGACGGUCUUGCUGUCACUUAUAGAUGGAUCCGCGCUGCAUUAGCUAGUUGGUAAGGUAACGGCUUACCAAGGCAACGAUGCAUAGCCGACCUGAGAGGGUGAUAGGCCACACUGGAAAUGAGACACGGUCCAGACUCCUACGGGAGGCAGCAGUAGGGAAUCUUCCGCAAUGGGCGAAAGCCUGACGGAGCAACGCCGCGUGAGUGAUGAAGGUCUUCGGAUCGUAAAACUCUGUUAUUAGGGAAGAACAUAUGUGUAAGUAACUGUGCACAUCUUGACGGUACCUAAUCAGAAAGCCACGGCUAACUACGUG